RNAcentral lists this long non-coding RNA (257 nucleotides) under Elaeis guineensis (African oil palm). RNAcentral's name for it is "long non-coding RNA (EGUI_LNC081961)". The record is from RNAcentral. Lineage: Eukaryota; Viridiplantae; Streptophyta; Magnoliopsida; Arecales; Arecaceae.
GCAGUCUACAUGUCUUUAUGCAUAUAUUAGGUUUCAUCAACUAUGAAGUUCAAGUUAUAGCACCUAACCUAAUUGUCAAUGUCCAAUCAUUUGUCAAGUAUAGCUUGUUGACAUGAAUUGGACAAGUUGAUGACAUUGGAUUAAUCUGGUCAAAAAUAUGACUUAAUUUCUAAAAGCUAAAAACUAUUCUUAGAUUUUUGAGUCAGAAUAUAUAAUUGAUUUCGAUUAAGUGAUUGAUAUCUUGGAUUCGAGCUAGA